CGAAGAACAUACUAUAACAGAAAAUAAAUCACAAUAUUGUAGUAAAGAAACAAUAAUUGAAAUUAAUGAGAUGAAAAGGUCAAUCAUAGUAUACAAAGAGCUAGAAUCAUACUAUAGGAGGAUAUACUAUUAUCACUACUAUUAGAGAAAUGUUAAAAUAUUAAGUAAAAUAUCUCCAAUAUACAAAUAAUUAAUAUCAAAAGCAUGAAAAGUCAAUUGCAAAAUAGAAUCACUUUCAAAUAAAUAAUACGACUCAUAAUUUCAUUUGUGUUCAAAAGAAAUUUAAUAGCAUUCAACAUACAAAGUUCCUGGAUGUUGCUAAUUUGGCUCCAAAGAGGCAAAAUUAUUGCAUAAAUAUCUAUUAUUAAAAAGAUCUGCUACAGCUUACGAUUAGAGUAAGAGUGGGUAAACAAUUCUAAUCUUGCGAAUUGCAUCCAAUUCAUAUAGUAGAACUACUAAACAAGAAAUUCACACAUCAAGCCAACAACCGGUCAAGGGAGAAUUGAGAUUGAGUAAUAGAGGGGAAAGGGUUUUGAAUUGAAAUUGAAUACUGAAAUUGGAAAACGAAUAGAGGAAAGAAGAGAGAAAGAGCUUACAUGGAGUGCUGAAGCACAAUAAAGCAACCUCUAAGAUAGUAUUUCAAUGGAAGUGAACAAUCUUGCAAAGAGGUCAGCGAAUCAAUGAGCUGCUUUUGGUCAUUCAAAUACUAGUAUAUCUGCAAUAUCAUCACAUUUUCAUAAUUAUCCCCCCACAUUACCAGAAAAACAAAUAAGACAGAAGCCACGACAGAAAAGAUGUGAUACAAUAAUAGUUCCAUUAUAUAUUUGUAUCAAGCUUGAUGUGUAUCCCUAGGUCUUCAGCAUCGGCAAGUAAAGAAGGCUCAUUCACACUUACAAUUAUCAACUUGUCCAACAUAUCAUUGACUAUUGAAACUCCAAAAUAAAAUAUAAAAAAACAACAGUAAAAAAUAAUCAAAUUGAUGCACUGCACUGCAUNNNNNNNNNNNNNNNNNNNNNNNNNNNNNNNNNNNNNNNCAACUUACAAAGAACCCAACCCAACCAACAAACACAUUACUAUCACAAUCAAAUGCAAAAUAACAGGACACCAACCCAGCAGAAGCAAAAUAACAUAUGAGACACAAAUUUUUAUAAGUUACUAGAAAAAAGAGGAGUGUUUGAGCUUACCUUAGAGCGUAUAGAUGUCAAUAAUAACUUGAUACAAAUCAGCACAGGUCAUACCUUUCCUAUGUCAGCCAUGUACGUACCUCUGCAAAUACAAAUCAUAACAGAUUUUAGUAAUAUGUUAUAUGUAUAAAAAGUUCAUUGCCAUGAUUUUCUCACUUCCUUCAAUUGGGGAUCUCUUUCGACACUAACAUGCCAACAAUAUGUGAUUUCUCUUACAUGUAUACUUUGAUGAAAAACAAAAAUAGAGUGGUUUCUACAUUCUACUGCUAAUAAAAUUUUAUCAGUAGUUCUUUUUGGAGAAAUGAAACCAGAAAACCUAGAGAGUUAACUUUAAAAUAUAUAUAUGAAUUAGAUAAUAACAAAAAAUAAAAAUAAUGCCAAAGAGUUAAAUUUGCAAACCUAGAGAAUAGAACAAAAAGAGUCAUCUAAGUGCUAACAAUAAGGCAUGAAAAUCAACAUCAACAAAUAAGUAAUAAAACUUAAAGAGUUUACUUCCCUAAAAUCAUUCACUUGAAUCUCUAACAUACAUAAUAUUGACAAGCAACCAGAGAGUAUGAGUCACAAAUCAGCGGAGAACGACUGAGAAGGGUUGAGAAACGACACAAGAUCGGCGGAGAAAGGCAGAUCGACGAUGUGCCAUGCGUUGAGCUAUGAGCGUGAGGGCNNNNNNNNNNNNNNNNNNNNNNNNNNNNNNNNNNNNNNNNGAUGUGCCAUGCGUUGUGCUAUGAGCGUGAGGGCGAAGUGAGGUGAGGUGUUUGAAGGUGACG
This 1951-nucleotide long non-coding RNA is filed under the name Trifolium pratense (red clover). RNAcentral's name for it is "long non-coding RNA (TPRA_LNC004808)". Lineage: Eukaryota; Viridiplantae; Streptophyta; Magnoliopsida; Fabales; Fabaceae. The record is from RNAcentral.